RNAcentral lists this ribosomal RNA (606 nucleotides) under Leptolyngbya sp. LUCC 024. Its description in RNAcentral is "bacterial SSU rRNA". It matches the Rfam family "Bacterial small subunit ribosomal RNA", at positions 156 to 795 of the family's 1533-position model. Lineage: Bacteria; Bacillati; Cyanobacteriota; Cyanophyceae; Leptolyngbyales; Leptolyngbyaceae. The record is from RNAcentral.
ACGACUGCUAAUACCCAAUGUGCCGAGAGGUGAAAGAUUUAGAGCCUGAAGAUGAGCUCGCGUCUGAUUAGCUAGUUGGUGAGGUAAUGGCUUACCAAGGCGACGAUCAGUAGCUGGUCUGAGAGGAUGAUCAGCCACACUGGGACUGAGACACGGCCCAGACUCCUACGGGAGGCAGCAGUGGGGAAUUUUCCGCAAUGGGCGCAAGCCUGACGGAGCAAGACCGCGUGAGGGAGGAAGGCUCUUGGGUUGUAAACCUCUUUUAUCAGGGAAGAAGAAGUGACGGUACCGAUCGAAUCAGCAUCGGCUAACUCCGUGCCAGCAGCCGCGGUAAUACGGAGGAUGCAAGCGUUAUCCGGAUUUAUUGGGCGUAAAGCGUCCGCAGGUGGUUUGACAAGUCUGCUGUCAAAGCGCGGAGCUUAACUCUGUAACGGCAGUGGAAACUGUCAAACUUGAGUACGGUAGGGGUAGCGGGAAUUCCCAGUGUAGCGGUGAAAUGCGUAGAUAUUGGGAAGAACACCAGCGGCGAAAGCGCGCUACUGGGCCAUUACUGACACUGAUGGACGAAAGCUAGGGGAGCGAAUGGGAUUAGAUACCCCCGUAGUC